UGGGGAAUAUUGGACAAUGGGCGCAAGCCUGAUCCAGCCAUGCCGCGUGAGUGAUGAAGGCCCUAGGGUUGUAAAGCUCUUUCACCGGUGAAGAUAAUGACGGUAACCGGAGAAGAAGCCCCGGCUAACUUCGUGCCAGCAGCCGCGGUAAUACGAAGGGGGCUAGCGUUGUUCGGAUUUACUGGGCGUAAAGCGCACGUAGGCGGACUAUUAAGUCAGGGGUGAAAUCCCGGGGCUCAACCCCGGAACUGCCUUUGAUACUGGUAGUCUUGAGUUCGAGAGAGGUGAGUGGAAUUCCGAGUGUAGAGGUGAAAUUCGUAGAUAUUCGGAGGAACACCAGUGGCGAACGCGGCUCACUGGCUCGAUACUGACGCUGAGGUGCGAAAGCGUGGGGAGCAAACAGG
This 404-nucleotide ribosomal RNA is filed under the name Actinomycetes bacterium. RNAcentral's name for it is "Actinobacteria bacterium partial 16S ribosomal RNA". It matches the Rfam family "Bacterial small subunit ribosomal RNA", at positions 355 to 776 of the family's 1533-position model. The record is from RNAcentral. Lineage: Bacteria; Bacillati; Actinomycetota; Actinomycetes.